RNAcentral lists this unclassified non-coding RNA (167 nucleotides) under soil metagenome. RNAcentral describes it as "partial internal transcribed spacer 1". The record is from RNAcentral.
CAGAGUUGCAAAACCCCCUUACCACCAUCGUGAACAGACCCCGAAACAGUUGCUUCGGCGGGAGGCAGUCCCCCCCUUCACCGGGGGCGGCCGGCCGCGACGCCCGCCGGAGGUACCCAAACUCUUUGUUUUAUAGGCCUCUCUGAGUCUUUGUACUGAAUAAGUCA